UAUCUUCGGGGCGGGGUGCAAUUCCCCACCGGCGGUGAAAGUCCGCGAGCGAAAGCUGAACCGGUGCAAUUCCGGUACCGACGGUACAGUCCGGAUGAAAGAAGA
This 105-nucleotide non-coding RNA is filed under the name bovine gut metagenome. Its description in RNAcentral is "FMN riboswitch (RFN element)". It matches the Rfam family "FMN riboswitch aptamer (RFN element)". Rfam says of the family: The RFN element is a highly conserved domain that is found frequently in the 5'-untranslated regions of prokaryotic mRNAs that encode for flavin mononucleotide (FMN) biosynthesis and transport proteins. The record is from RNAcentral.